This is a non-coding RNA of Parelaphostrongylus tenuis, 71 nucleotides long. Lineage: Eukaryota; Metazoa; Nematoda; Chromadorea; Rhabditida; Metastrongylidae. The record is from the annotation of a GenBank genome assembly.
GCGAUGGUGUAGCGGUAGCACGCGCCCCCGACAUGGGUGAAACGCAAGUUCAACUCCUGCCAGAGGUCGCA